ACACUUUUAAUAUAUUUAGUAUAUUUGAUUUCCAAUCAAAAAGUUUGACUCAAACAGUGUA
This 61-nucleotide transfer RNA is filed under the name Ramazzottius varieornatus. RNAcentral's name for it is "tRNA-Gly". Lineage: Eukaryota; Metazoa; Tardigrada; Eutardigrada; Parachela; Ramazzottiidae. The record is from RNAcentral.